AUGGCUGGAUCUGCUCCUCGAUCUAGCAGGAUGGAUGUAGCUACCUACUUGAUUCAAAUCAUUACUUUGCUUCCUCUGCUGGAACCUGGGGUUGAAGUUGGGAUUCUGCAUCUGGUCGGCCCUCAAUCACAGGCCAGGGAUGGCCAUGGUUUUUCCGCUUCAGAGUUGAGCUGGAUGCCCGUGCAGUGCACGAGUCUCCUGAACACAAUGAGCAUGCCGUGGUCUGUCGUCUGUUCCAGCAGCAACGUUCAUACGUUGUUGUCCACUACUCCAGUGCAGCAGCAGCCCGAAAAUAAUGGAGAGCUGAUUCUUAGGUAUGUGAAGAAAGGGUGGGAAGAUCAAAUCAAGGACCCGGGCAGUUACUGGAAGUUCAAUGAUCGCAGGGGGGCAGUGGAUGCUUCAUACGAACAAGUGCAACCAAGAUCUGGGUUGCAGCUUAAGGAGGCCAUUCGAUGA
Molecule: ribosomal RNA, 456 nt
Filed under: Triticum aestivum (bread wheat)
Lineage: Eukaryota; Viridiplantae; Streptophyta; Magnoliopsida; Poales; Poaceae
Description: partial small subunit ribosomal RNA
Source: RNAcentral